Molecule: ribosomal RNA, 274 nt
Filed under: uncultured bacterium
Lineage: Bacteria
Description: partial 16S ribosomal RNA
Rfam family: Bacterial small subunit ribosomal RNA
Source: RNAcentral
AUACGGAGGGUGCAAGCGUUACUCGGAAUCACUGGGCGUAAAGCGCGCGCAGGCGGCUAUUUAAGUUGGAUGUGAAAGCCUACGGCUCAACCGUAGAACUGCAUCCAAAACUAUUUAGCUAGAGUGUGGGAGAGGAAGAUGGAAUUAGUUGUGUAGGGGUAAAAUCCGUAGAGAUAACUAGGAAUACCAAAAGCGAAGGCAAUCUUCUGGAACACUACUGACGCUGAGGCGCGAAAGCGUGGGGAGCAAACAGGAUUAGAAACCCGGGUAGUCC